ACAUUAGUAAGGUAAAUGAUGAUAAAAUGCAGCUGAGGGUUCUGAAGACCAAGAGCGUCGAGCACAUGUCUUUCUUGGUAGCGUUUGCGAUGUUCGCAUACGCUAUAGUUUGGAGCGUCAUCUCGUUUCUAUCCCUGGAUCCUAUUAUGUUUAUUUCCUUUGGGAUAUGCACAUUACUUGGACUAGUCCAAGUAGUCGUGUACGCUGUGUAUUACCCAUGGACACAGAUGAUUAUUGCGGCGAGACAGAGACUAUGUGUUUGAUCAUAUGGUGAUCGAUCUUCCGUAGGAAAAGAAUCCGGUUAUUCCUACCAGCUUUAUUCUGCUCAGCCCAUCUGUUGAUUAUCUCAGACUAUAUUAUUAUUUUUUUCUAGAUUUAUUGUUAUUUUAAACCUUGAAAGCAUCGAGUUGUUUUAACU
Long non-coding RNA from Camelina sativa (false flax), 418 nucleotides. RefSeq lists it as uncharacterized. The record is from RefSeq and is a predicted model, not a curated record. Lineage: Eukaryota; Viridiplantae; Streptophyta; Magnoliopsida; Brassicales; Brassicaceae.